CAUGCAGUCGAGCGGAACGAUGAUAGCUUGCUAUCAGGCGUCGAGCGGCGGACGGGUGAGUAAUACUUAGGAAUCUACCUAGUAGUGGGGGAUAGCACGGGGAAACUCGUAUUAAUACCGCAUACGACCUACGGGAGAAAGGGGGCAGUUUACUGCUCUCGCUAUUAGAUGAGCCUAAGUCGGAUUAGCUAGAUGGUGGGGUAAAGGCCUACCAUGGCGACGAUCUGUAGCUGGUCUGAGAGGAUGAUCAGCCACACCGGGACUGAGACACGGCCCGGACUCCUACGGGAGGCAGCAGUGGGGAAUAUUGGACAAUGGGGGAAACCCUGAUCCAGCCAUGCCGCGUGUGUGAAGAAGGCCUUUUGGUUGUAAAGCACUUUAAGCAGUGAAGAAGACUCCGUGGUUAAUACCCACGGACGAUGACAUUAGCUGCAGAAUAAGCACCGGCUAACUCUGUGCCAGCAGCCGCGGUAAUACAGAGGGUGCAAGCGUUAAUCGGAAUUACUGGGCGUAAAGGGAGCGUAGGUGGCUCGAUAAGUCAGAUGUGAAAUCCCCGGGCUCAACCUGGGAACUGCAUCUGAUACUGUUGAGCUAGAGUAUGUGAGAGGAAGGUAGAAUUCCAGGUGUAGCGGUGAAAUGCGUAGAGAUCUGGAGGAAUACCGAUGGCGAAGGCAGCCUUCUGGCAUAAUACUGACACUGAGGCUCGAAAGCGUGGGUAGCAAACAGGAUUAGAUACCCUGGUAGUCCACGCCGUAAACGAUGUCUACUAGUCGUUGGGUCCCUUGAGGACUUAGUGACGCAGCUAACGCAAUAAGUAGACCGCCUGGGGAGUACGGCCGCAAGGUUAAAACUCAAAUGAAUUGACGGGGGCCCGCACAAGCGGUGGAGCAUGUGGUUUAAUUCGAUGCAACGCGAAGAACCUUACCUGGUCUUGACAUAUCUAGAAUCCUGCAGAGAUGCGGGAGUGCCUUCGGGAAUUAGAAUACAGGUGCUGCAUGGCUGUCGUCAGCUCGUGUCGUGAGAUGUUGGGUUAAGUCCCGCAACGAGCGCAACCCUUGUCCUUAGUUACCAGCGGGUUAAGCCGGGAACUCUAAGGAUACUGCCAGUGACAAACUGGAGGAAGGCGGGGACGACGUCAAGUCAUCAUGGCCCUUACGACCAGGGCUACACACGUGCUACAAUGGUAGGUACAGAGGGCAGCUACACAGCGAUGUGAUGCGAAUCUCAAAAAGCCUAUCGUAGUCCAGAUUGGAGUCUGCAACUCGACUCCAUGAAGUAGGAAUCGCUAGUAAUCGCGGAUCAGAAUGCCGCGGUGAAUACGUUCCCGGGCCUUGUACACACCGCCCGUCACACCAUGGGAGUUGAUUGCACCAGAAGUGGGUAGCCUAACCUUUUAGGAAGGCGCUCACC
RNAcentral lists this ribosomal RNA (1410 nucleotides) under Psychrobacter sp. UDEC-A11. RNAcentral describes it as "bacterial SSU rRNA". It matches the Rfam family "Bacterial small subunit ribosomal RNA". The record is from RNAcentral. Lineage: Bacteria; Pseudomonadati; Pseudomonadota; Gammaproteobacteria; Moraxellales; Moraxellaceae.